GCAACGUGGAAUCCCCAGGAGGCCACUCUCCCAGGCUCUGUCCUAGUGUCAUAGGGUCAUAGGGUCUGUCCUAUUACAGUCCCCUUCUACAAAGCUGGAUUUGCUGCUGGGCUUCAAGUCUGCACCCGCACAUCCCUAUGACUCUCAGAGUCCUGUGGAUGAUGACUGACAAAACAAACCAUGCAGGAAACAGUU
Molecule: small nucleolar RNA, 195 nt
Organism: Cricetulus griseus (Chinese hamster)
Lineage: Eukaryota; Metazoa; Chordata; Mammalia; Rodentia; Cricetidae
Gene: SNORA73
Rfam family: Small nucleolar RNA SNORA73 family
About the family: U17 (SNORA73A and SNORA73B) also known as E1 belongs to the H/ACA class of small nucleolar RNAs (snoRNAs). Vertebrate U17 is intron-encoded and ranges in length from 200-230 nucleotides, longer than most snoRNAs. It is one of the most abundant snoRNAs in human cells and is essential for the cleavage of pre-rRNA within the 5' external transcribed spacer (ETS).
Source: Ensembl